AAGUCGUAACAAGGUUUCCGUAGGUGAACCUGCGGAAGGAUCAUUAUCGAGUUUUUUGAAGUGGGAUUUUGAUGCUGGCCAGUCCUCGGACGGGCAUGUGCUCGGUCCCCGCUCAAAUCCACUCAACCACUGUGCACUAAUUCGAAGCUUUGCGGUCCUCCCCGAAAGGGGGAGCAGCUCCCCCCCUUAUCGGGGGUCGAGCCGGGGCUUGCGAGGUUUCGAGCCUUUAUCAUACAAACUACUUUAUUGUCUUGUAGAAUGUGAACUUAUUGAAAAAAUACAA
RNAcentral lists this unclassified non-coding RNA (283 nucleotides) under plant metagenome. RNAcentral describes it as "partial contains small subunit ribosomal RNA and internal transcribed spacer 1". The stretch from base 1 to 46 matches the Rfam family "Eukaryotic small subunit ribosomal RNA", at positions 1786 to 1831 of the family's 1831-position model. The record is from RNAcentral.